CCUACGGGAGGCAGCAGUGAGGAAUAUUGGUCAAUGGACGAGAGUCUGAACCAGCCAAGUAGCGUGAAGGAUGACUGCCCUAUGGGUUGUAAACUUCUUUUAUAAAGGAAUAAAACGAGGCACGCGUGCCUUUCUGCAUGUACUUUAUGAAUAAGGAUCGGCUAACUCCGUGCCAGCAGCCGCGGUAAUACGGAGGAUCCGAGCGUUAUCCGGAUUUAUUGGGUUUAAAGGGAUCGUAGCUGGGUGGUUAAGUCAGUUGUGAAAGUUUGCGGCUCAACCGUAAAAUUGCAAUUGAUACUGGCAGUCUUGAGUACAGUUGAGGUAAGCGGAAUGCGUGGUGUAGCGGUGAAAUGCUUAGAUAUCACGAAGAACCCCGAUUGCGAAGGCAGCUUACUAAACUGUGACUGACAUUGAUGCUCGAAAGUGUGGGUAUCAAACAGGAUUAGAUACCCGGGUAGUC
RNAcentral lists this ribosomal RNA (460 nucleotides) under uncultured bacterium. RNAcentral describes it as "partial 16S ribosomal RNA". It matches the Rfam family "Bacterial small subunit ribosomal RNA", at positions 338 to 795 of the family's 1533-position model. The record is from RNAcentral.